This 254-nucleotide ribosomal RNA is filed under the name uncultured bacterium. RNAcentral describes it as "partial 16S ribosomal RNA". It matches the Rfam family "Bacterial small subunit ribosomal RNA", at positions 524 to 776 of the family's 1533-position model. The record is from RNAcentral.
UACGUAGGGUGCAAGCGUUGUCCGGAAUUAUUGGGCGUAAAGAGCUCGUAGGCGGUGUGUCACGUCGGCCGUGAAAACCUGGGGCUUAACUCUGGGCGUGCGGUCGAUACGGGCAUCACUAGAGUUCGGCAGGGGAGACUGGAAUUCCUGGUGUAGCGGUGAAAUGCGCAGAUAUCAGGGGGAACACCGGUGGCGAAGGCGGGUCUCUGGGCCGAUACUGACGCUGAGGAGCGAAAGCAUGGGUAGCGAACAGG